Molecule: ribosomal RNA, 253 nt
Filed under: uncultured bacterium
Lineage: Bacteria
Description: partial 16S ribosomal RNA
Rfam family: Bacterial small subunit ribosomal RNA
Source: RNAcentral
UACGUAGGGGGCUAGCGUUGUCCGGAAUCAUUGGGCGUAAAGAGCGUGUAGGCGGCCCGGUAAGUCCGCUGUGAAAGUCGGGGGCUCAACCCUCGGAUGCCGGUGGAUACUGUCGGGCUAGAGUCCGGAAGAGGCGAGUGGAAUUCCCGGUGUAGCGGUGAAAUGCGCAGAUAUCGGGAGGAACACCAAUGGCGAAGGCAGCUCGCUGGGACGGUACUGACGCUGAGGAGCGAAAGCGUGGGGAGCGAACAGG